AGAGUUUGAUCAUGGCUCAGAUUGAACGCUGGCGGCAGGCUUAACACAUGCAAGUCGAACGGUAACAUGAGUGCUUGCACUUGAUGACGAGUGGCGGACGGGUGAGUAAAGGUAUGGGGAUCUGCCGAAUGGAGGGGGACAACAGUUGGAAACGACUGCUAAUACCGCAUAACGUUGAGAGACCAAAGCAUGGGACCUUCGGGCCAUGCGCCAUUUGAUGAACCCAUAUGGGAUUAGCUAGUUGGUAGGGUAAAGGGCUCACCAAGGCGACGAUCUCUAGCUGGUCUGAGAGGAUGACCAGCCACACUGGAACUGAGACACGGUCCAGACUCCUACGGGAGGCAGCAGUGGGGAAUAUUGCACAAUGGGGGAAACCCUGAUGCAGCCAUGCCGCGUGUAUGAAGAAGGCCUUCGGGUUGUAAAGUACUUUCGGUAAUGAGGAAGGUGAUGUAUCUAAUAGGUGCAUCAAUUGACGUUAAUUACAGAAGAAGCACCGGCUAACUCCGUGCCAGCAGCCGCGGUAAUACGGAGGGUGCGAGCGUUAAUCGGAAUGACUGGGCGUAAAGGGCAUGUAGGCGGAUAAUUAAGUUAGGUGUGAAAGCCCUGGGCUCAACCUAGGAAUUGCACUUAAAACUGGUUAUCUAGAGUAUUGUAGAGGAAGGUAGAAUUCCACGUGUAGCGGUGAAAUGCGUAGAGAUGUGGAGGAAUACCGGUGGCGAAGGCGGCCUUCUGGACAGAUACUGACGCUGAGAUGCGAAAGCGUGGGGAGCAAACAGGAUUAGAUACCCUGGUAGUCCACGCUGUAAACGAUGUCGAUUUGGAGUUUGUUGCCUAGAGUGAUGGGCUCCGAAGCUAACGCGAUAAAUCGACCGCCUGGGGAGUACGGCCGCAAGGUUAAAACUCAAAGGAAUUGACGG
Molecule: ribosomal RNA, 917 nt
Filed under: uncultured Gilliamella sp.
Lineage: Bacteria; Pseudomonadati; Pseudomonadota; Gammaproteobacteria; Orbales; Orbaceae
Description: bacterial SSU rRNA
Rfam family: Bacterial small subunit ribosomal RNA
Source: RNAcentral